GGGCCCGCACAAGCGGUGGAGCAUGUGGUUUAAUACGUCACUAACCGUAGAACCUUACCCAGGCUUGACAUCUGGGGAAUCCUGAUGAAAGUCGGGAGUGCCUUUGGGAGCCUCAAGACAGGUGUUGCAUGGCUGUCGUCAGCUCGUGUCGUGAGAUGUUGGGUUAAGUCCCGCAACGAGCGCAACCCUCAUCCGAUGUUGCCAGCGUAAAGUCGGGAACUCUUCGGAAACUGCCCGUGUAAGCGGGAGGAAGGUGGGGAUGACGUCAAGUCAGCAUGGCCCUUACGCCUGGGGCUACACACAUGCUACAAUGGACGCUAACAAAGGGCAGCAAUACCGCGAGGUGGAGCGAAUCUCAUAAAUGCGUCCUCAGUUCGGAUUGUAGUCUGCAACUCGACUACAUGAAGUCGGAAUCGCUAGUAACCGCAGGUCAGCUAAACUGCGGUGAAUACGUUCCCGGGCCUU
This 465-nucleotide ribosomal RNA is filed under the name uncultured bacterium. RNAcentral's name for it is "bacterial SSU rRNA". It matches the Rfam family "Bacterial small subunit ribosomal RNA", at positions 917 to 1382 of the family's 1533-position model. The record is from RNAcentral.